Long non-coding RNA from Quercus robur (English oak), 342 nucleotides. RefSeq lists it as uncharacterized. The transcript is spliced from 3 exons. Lineage: Eukaryota; Viridiplantae; Streptophyta; Magnoliopsida; Fagales; Fagaceae. The record is from RefSeq and is a predicted model, not a curated record.
AGUAUGAUAUUUUACAGUGAUACUAUUUCUGCCAGAUUGUUAAGGUAUUGGAACUCAUUGGGAAGAAAGAAGGACUACAACUUCCAUCUGGAUUUGCUGCUCUUAUAGCAGAAAAGUCAAAUCGGAGUUUAAGGAGAGCUAUACUGUCAUUUCAGACUUGUCGUGUCCAACAGUAUCCCUUUACAAGCAAACAAGUAAUAUCCUCAAUGGAUUGGGAGGAAUAUGUUGCUGAACUAGCAUCUGACAUAAUGAAGGAGCAGAGUCCUAAAAGGCUGUUUCAGGUUCGAGGGAAGUUGUAUGAGCUACUUGUCAAUUGUAUUCCACCAGAGAUUAUCUUGAAGG